GAUGAACGCUGGCGGCGUGCCUAAUACAUGCAAGUCGAGCGAACGGACGAGAAGCUUGCUUCUCUGAUGUUAGCGGCGGACGGGUGAGUAACACGUGGAUAACCUACCUAUAAGACUGGGAUAACUUCGGGAAACCGGAGCUAAUACCGGAUAAUAUUUUGAACCGCAUGGUUCAAAAGUGAAAGACGGUCUUGCUGUCACUUAUAGAUGGAUCCGCGCUGCAUUAGCUAGUUGGUAAGGUAACGGCUUACCAAGGCAACGAUGCAUAGCCGACCUGAGAGGGUGAUCGGCCACACUGGAACUGAGACACGGUCCAGACUCCUACGGGAGGCAGCAGUAGGGAAUCUUCCGCAAUGGGCGAAAGCCUGACGGAGCAACGCCGCGUGAGUGAUGAAGGUCUUCGGAUCGUAAAACUCUGUUAUUAGGGAAGAACAUAUGUGUAAGUAACUGUGCACAUCUUGACGGUACCUAAUCAGAAAGCCACGGCUAACUACGUGCCAGCAGCCGCGGUAAUACGUAGGUGGCAAGCGUUAUCCGGAAUUAUUGGGCGUAAAGCGCGCGUAGGCGGUUUUUUAAGUCUGAUGUGAAAGCCCACGGCUCAACCGUGGAGGGUCAUUGGAAACUGGAAAACUUGAGUGCAGAAGAGGAAAGUGGAAUUCCAUGUGUAGCGGUGAAAUGCGCAGAGAUAUGGAGGAACACCAGUGGCGAAGGCGACUUUCUGGUCUGUAACUGACGCUGAUGUGCGAAAGCGUGGGGAUCAAACAGGAUUAGAUACCCUGGUAGUCCACGCCGUAAACGAUGAGUGCUAAGUGUUAGGGGGUUUCCGCCCCUUAGUGCUGCAGCUAACGCAUUAAGCACUCCGCCUGGGGAGUACGACCGCAAGGUUGAAACUCAAAGGAAUUGACGGGGACCCGCACAAGCGGUGGAGCAUGUGGUUUAAUUCGAAGCAACGCGAAGAACCUUACCAAAUCUUGACAUCCCUUGACAACUCUAGAGAUAGAGCCUUCCCCUUCGGGGGACAAAGUGACAGGUGGUGCAUGGUUGUCGUCAGCUCGUGUCGUGAGAUGUUGGGUUAAGUCCCGCAACGAGCGCAACCCUUAAGCUUAGUUGCCAUCAUUAAGUUGGGCACUCUAAGUUGACUGCCGGUGACAAACCGGAGGAAGGUGGGGAUGACGUCAAAUCAUCAUGCCCCUUAUGAUUUGGGCUACACACGUGCUACAAUGGACAAUACAAAGGGCAGCGAAACCGCGAGGUCAAGCAAAUCCCAUAAAGUUGUUCUCAGUUCGGAUUGUAGUCUGCAACCCGACUACAUGAAGCUGGAAUCGCUAGUAAUCGUAGAUCAGCAUGCUACGGUGAAUACGUUCCCGGGUCU
RNAcentral lists this ribosomal RNA (1372 nucleotides) under uncultured bacterium. Its description in RNAcentral is "bacterial SSU rRNA". It matches the Rfam family "Bacterial small subunit ribosomal RNA", at positions 28 to 1381 of the family's 1533-position model. The record is from RNAcentral.